Molecule: transfer RNA, 72 nt
Filed under: Marmota monax (woodchuck)
Lineage: Eukaryota; Metazoa; Chordata; Mammalia; Rodentia; Sciuridae
Description: tRNA.Ala
Source: RNAcentral
UGGGGUGUAAUUCAGGGGCAUAGUAUUUGCCUAGCAUGUACAAAAUCCUGGGUUUAAUCCCCAACACUGCAA